ACUAUUAUCACACUGCAAGAAAUUAGAAAACGAUGAAUAGUACAGCUCAAUAACUUCAGCACAUAAACGAAUUCCCCAUUUUCUUUCUCUAUAUAACAAAGACUAAGAAGAUCCAAAUGAACAUCCCGCAGCUUCUACUAUACUAAAUAGAGCUAUGGCAAUUAAAUGUGCUUUAGCCUCCAUCUUGGUCCAUCUAGUUCUAGCCAGCUUACCAACUUACACCAUUGGCAGCCGGUUGCUGCCACUCAACCGAAGCAGUUUUCCGCCUGGUUUUAUUUUUGGAGCCGGUUCUUCUGCUUAUCAAGUAUGAUCUUUCUUUUCUUUUGAAAAAAGAACAAAGAAAUUUUCUUGACUAGUAUUUUCUUUAACAGUCUGAAGGAGCAGCACUGAUAGAUGGCAGAGGACCAAGCAUAUGGGAUACUUUUGUGAGGGAACAAUCAGGUUUGAAUAGAAGAAGAAGAAGAAAAAAAAAAAAACUUUGUUGUUUUAUGCUUUGUAAAUCCUUUUACUAUGAGUAAUGAAUUUAUGUUUUUCCUCUUCAUCUUUAUCCCUUCCUUUGUUAUGUGUUUAAGAUAUUUUUGUUUUGUCGUUUCUUUGAAAAUGCUAAAACCAGCUUUCCUACCCCAUUUUCUAACCAUUUUUAUGUGUUUUGAAAAAAUUUUACCUUUGCGUGGCAGAAAAAAUUAAGGAUCGCAGUACAGGAGAUGUAGCUGACGAUUUUUAUCACCGUUACAAGGUAUUAUUAUGAAAAAUUAAGCAUAGUAUACAUAUAUAUAGUAUUUUUAUUCCUCUAUAUAUUUUGCUUGCUUGCUUUGGAUUCAGGAGGACAUAAAACUAAUGAAAAAGAUUGGUCUGGACUCCUUCAGGUUCUCCAUUUCGUGGAGUAGAAUCUUACCAAGUAAGAGAAGGAAUUUAUGAAAGAUAAAUUGGGAUAGAAUAAUUAAUGAGUCUGAAUCUUAAUUCAUUACAAUGGAAAAGUACAACAAUAUGCUAAAAUAGGUAUAUAUAUUCUAGGUUAGGUGAGGAAUUAUUAAGGUGUAACACUUUUCUCCUUUUUCCUUUUUUUUUUUUAUUUUUUAUUUUUUUUUCCAGAGGGGAAAAUCAAUGGGGGAGUGAAUGCACUGGGUGUUCAAUUUUACAAUGACCUCAUCAACAAUCUACUUUCCAAUGGUCAAUUACCAUUAUCUUUCACUAUAUAUAUUUUUAUUUUCCUGAUUAAUUACUUAAUAUGUUUUCACUAAAAUAGUAAAUUGAGCAUGCAGGUAUAAAGCCCUUUGUGACUUUACUCCAUUUCGACCCUCCACAAGCUCUGGAAGAUGAGUAUGGUGGUUUUCUAAGCCCACAAAUAGUGUAAGUGACAAAUUUUCAUAUAUAUAUAUAAGAAUAUGUUCGGUAAAAUUAAUUUUGUAGCAGCUAUUGAAUAUUUUAGUAACUGUUAACUGUUUAAAUAGCCUUUCAUCAACGUUCAAGUGAGUAACAUUUCAUAAUGCUCUCUCUCAAAUUCUUCUCACUAUUAUAAAAGAUAUAUUGUGGUUACAUGAAAAGCUGUUGCCGAACAUGACCGAAGAACAUUCUAUAUUUUUCAUUUAUUUUUAAUAUGUAACAAUAUAAUAUGAAUGUCUCUAAUUCGAUGAAUAUAUAUAUAUAUAGGAAAGAUUAUGUGGAGUAUGCAGACUUUUGUUUCAAAACAUUUGGCGAUCGAGUGAAGCUUUGGGUGACCAUAAAUGAACCCAACAUAUUUGUCAUCCAAGGUUAUGACUCCGGUGUCUUGGCACCUGGUCGAUGCUCCCACCUUGUAGGAAAUUGCUCUGCCGGAAACUCUGCAACUGAACCUUACAUCGUCAUGCACCACCUACUUCUCAGCCAUUCAGCUGCUGUCAAAUUGUAUAGGGACAAGUACGAGGUAACUAAUACUUUACCAGUAAUUAAAUGUAUUGCAUCUCCAGACGAAUUUUUCUUGACUACUAAGUGAUAAAUUUAACAUUUGCAGGUUAUCCAAAAGGGACAAAUCGGAAUUACGAUAGCAAGUGAAUGGUAUAUUCCAAAGUACAAUACAUCUUCUAGCCGCUUGGCUACCUCUAGAGUCUUGGAUUUUAACUUUGGAUGGUAAGCACUAAAUCUAUAUAUAUAUAUCCGAAAUAACAAGAUGAACUAUACAACAGUGAUAUCUCUUAACUCAUUAAAUUAGUAAAAAUUCUUAUAGUCGAAACUACUCGAACUCAAGACCUCUAUAAUAUGAGAAAAUCAACCAGACCACACUUGAUUGACUGUAAUUUCAUUUUUUCUUUGAGGUGACAAUAUUAGAACUAUAUUUUUGCAGGAUUGCACAUCCAAUUACAUAUGGAAGCUAUCCCCGAAGCAUGAGAGAACUAGUGGGAAGUAGAUUGCCAAAAUUCACUCAAGAACAAUCAAAAAUGAUAAAAGGGUCCUUUGAUUUUAUUACCCUAAAUUACUACUCAACAUAUUAUGCAGAAACUGCUCCACUUGCUAACGGUGCCAUCCUUAGUUAUACUGCUGACCAACGUGUAAAUACAACUUGUAGGUUCAAAUUUUUUAAAGCUUUAAUGAUUAUACAAUUAAGCUUUGAAGAAAAAAUUUUAAUUAAUCUAUUAAUACUAAUUAAUACUAUGCAUUUCGUCACCGCAGCAGAAAGGAAUGGAGUUCCCAUCGGCACACCGGUAUAUCUUUCUUUUUUCUUUCACACAUCGCCAUAUUGAUACCAAUGAGAUAGGNNNNNNNNNNNNNNNNNNNNNNNNNNNNNNGUACUAAUUGCAUAUUGAAGGGUAAGUUGCUCAAAAUUAAAGAACUUCAAUUUACGAAGAAAAAUGCAUCAGAAUUAAAUUUUCUUGGAAUCAUAAUGAACAAAGAAAAUGUGAUUAGCUGCUAAUUAUAUGUUGACAUUUUGCUUGGUGUUGCUUAGACUGUUUUGAGCUGGCUUUACAUCUAUCCAAAAGGAUUGGAAGAGCUUUUGCUAUAUGUGAAGGAAAAUUACAACAAUCCUACUAUUUUUUUUUUACAGAGGUUAAUUAAUGGUUUUAAUCUGCAUUAAUUCCUUGCAGGAAUGGCUGACGAUGCCUCUUUGCCGCUUGAAGUUGGCCUUAAAGAUGGUUUAAGAAUAAGAUACCUUAGUAGUCACUUAUCUUAUCUUUUAAGGGCAAUCAAGUAAAUUUUUUUUAAUUAUUUUUACUUUUAACAAUUAAUUAAUUAAUUGGUGAUAUUAAACAAAUUAAUCACGAUUUAAUUGAAAUUUUGCAGGAAGGGUGUUAAUGUAAAAUCAUACUAUAUAUGGUCAUUUUUUGAUGACUUUGAAUGGAGCAGUGGCUACACCAUUCGAUUUGGCAUCACUUAUGUUGAUUAUAAGAAUAAUCUGAAACGAUACCUCAAGUACUCAGCCUAUUGGUUCAAAUUGUUCCUUGCAAAUUAAUUAUGUUUGAAGACCUCCCAAAUACUUUUUACUCUUCAUUUUCCAAUAAAAAAAUAAUAAAAAAAUGCUUUGUGUAACUUACAAUAAUAGUGCGGUUAAUUCAACCGAUCGAAUUAGUCCAUUUGACAAGAAUGUGCUCUCGUUUCUUUUUAAUAAGAGCUCGAUUUCAUGGAUAUGUGAGUUGAUUUGCAUGGAAAAAAUCCAAAUUUCUUAAAUAAAAGAUCGAGCGUUUUCAUCUUUAUGAAUCGAGAAAAAAAAAAGUUUAAAUAUAUAUUUUUUCAUUCUUGCAUUCUCUUCUUUAGUUGUACAAUCCAACCACUUUCCUUUUGUAUUGUCAUUUUUAAAUUAUUAUACCAAUUAAUGUGUCAAAAUGGAUUGACGCGUUGGUCGACACGAAAUCGCCUAACACUAGACACGAUUAUAGUGAACAUGAACACAACCUGUUUAACAAUUGUGUCAUAUAUUUAAAUACGAACAUGACAUAAAAAUUAAACGAAUGAUACAUAUAUGAUGCAAUUAAAUGGGUCAUAUAUGAGUCAAAAACUUUAAUUUAAUUUAAUUAAAUAUGUCAUAUACGGUUCAGAAAUACGAUACAUAUAAUAUGUAUAACUUGUAUAACCUACUUAAUAUACUUAAUAUUCUUAAAUAAAUGGGGUACACGAAAUAGACUAGUCAACCGUGAUACACUACGUUUAAACUCGAGUUAUAUAUGGGGCAUCCGUUUAUAAUGCAAAAUCAUUUUGACUCAACCUUAAUCCAUUUAAUUUUCGUAUUAGGCGAACUGUUUACCGUGUCAUGACUCAUUUUGACAGCCCCGGCCUAGCAUAUGCCAUCUAAUCCCCUCCGUAGUCCAACUUCAGUGCUCUACAUUUUUUUUGUUACAAUAGAGGUUCUAUUCAACAAAUUUAACUGUUUUAGUUGCUAUUAGCCGUUUUAGUAGCUGUCAACUGUUUUAAUAGUGGUUAGCAGUUAAUGGUUAACGAUUAUACAGUGAUUUAGAAUAAAGUGUUUGGUACAAAUAACUGUUUAAUUAGCUGUUUAAAUAAGGUAAAGAAAAGUGAUAGAUACAGGCGUUAUAGAGAAAUUAUAAAAUGUUAUAAAGAUAACGUUUUAUAAAAUAUUGUCUCAACUCUAAAUAUUAGAAUAUAUAUUGUAUUAUCAAAUACUAUAAUUAAUUAAGAUAGAAUUUCAAUCCUAUUAAAACACUAAACAGUACUUCAAAAUCCAUUAGUGCAACAGAAAUGCAACUUAAGAAGACCACAGAAAAGUCAAAAAAAACCAUUCCACCGUUCCAUCCAUAAUUUAGAUUAAUUUAUAAUAAUUAUAUAGACAGUGACACAUGCUGUAUUUUAAUAUAUUUUUCACGUGUGUGUCUGCCACUCAACUACCAUUGUUCUUGGCUGAUACUAUAAUUGAUGUCUAAUUGUUUCAACUACCCAUUUUAAAAAUCUCCCCUUAUGGAAUUUGACUUAAAUUCUAACUACCCUUUCUUCCUCUUCUUUGUUUUUAUAAAUCUAUCGGGCCCCAUUGAAUGUUUAAGUUCAUCUGGUUAUUAUACAACUCCGUUUAAUCGGAGCAGUUUUCCGGCAGAUUUUAUAUUUGGAGCAUCCUCAAGUGCUUACCAGGUAGCUAGUCUCUGCAACCAUAGAGUUUUUUUUUUUCUUUUUUAAAUUUCUUUUCCAUUUAACUGCAUUUCUUGCUUCAUUGUAUAGUAUGAAGGAGCAACUCAGGUUGAUGGAAGACGACCAAGCAUUUGGGAUACAUUCGUCAGGGAAUUCCCAGGUUCUACAUCGUUAAAACGACUUAUAUUUGUAGAGAGAGGAAUUAAUUUACAAUUUAUCAUAUGAAAUCAGUCUAUGAUUGCUUUGACUCGUGUAAUUUUAAUUUUCCCAGUCAAUUUUUAAAUAUUUUUUCUCCUUUUAUUUUUAAGAUAAUUUUUUUUCUCUUAUUUCUCUUUUCACUAACUUCAAAAUAUGAGAUAUCUUAUAGAGUUAAAACUCAAAACAUGGCAGAAAAAAUUGCAGAUCAUAGCAAUGGAAAUAUAGCCGAAGAAUUUUAUUAUCUUUAUAAGGUAUGUCUAAGAAAAUUAUGUAUUCAUCAAUGUCAAAAUAUAAACUCCUUCUAUUGCUAGUUACAUAUACAUGUAUGUGUGUUUAUAUAUAGGAGGACAUUGCUCGGAUGAAAGAAAUUGGAUUAGACUCCUUCAGAUUUUCCCUUUCAUGGCCCAGAAUAUUACCUUGUAAGAACAUCAUUUCGUAAUUGGUUAAUUAUAAUUUUGGAAUUUUAAUCACUUGGAAUGGAUUUUUUUUCUUAAAUUCUCAGAUGGGAAAAUCAGUGGAGGUGUGAACCAGAAAGGUGUUGAUUUCUACAAUUUUAUCGUUGAUGAGUUAAUAUCAAAUGGUAAUUUUUUUUAUAUUUCACAAAUUGAAUCCUUUUAAAUUAAGAUAAUAACAUUUUAAUUAUCAUCUAAAUAUACUAGUAUUUACAUUUUGAGCAGGCAUUCAACCCUUAGUGACUCUAUUCCAUUGGGAUGUUCCUCAAGCCAUUGAAGAUGAGUAUGGUGGAUUCUUAAGCUCUGAAAUUGUGUAAGCUAAUCAGCUAAUCUUUUUAAGAAAGGUUAAUUGCAAAUGGGAAAUUAAUUGAUCAAUUCUAAGACUUGUACAGGGAUGAUUAUCGCAAUUACGCGGAUUUUUGCUUCAAAGAAUUUGGUGAUAGAGUAAAGUAUUGGGUGACUAUAAACGAGCCUGACAUAGUAGGUCUUAAAGGGUAUGCAUCAGGCAUUAAUGCACCCGGUCGGUGUUCUAGCUACAUCGGAAAUUGCACGGUGGGGAAUUCUGCGACAGAGCCAUAUAUGGUGGUUCAUAACAUGAUUCUUUCUCAUGCAGCUGCUGUAAAAUUAUACAGGGAGAAAUAUCAGGUGAGGAUAAUUCUUUUUUAUGCAGCAGAAGUUUUUGGGAAAAGACUUGUCCAAAUCUCCAAUUUUAGUAAUUUGGAUUCUUUUUAGGCUUCUCAAAAGGGUAAACUUGGGAUUACAGUAUCAGUUAGAUGGAUGGUGCCCAAAUACCCCACAGUUUCUUGCAGAAAGGCAGCCUCUACUGCUCUUGAUUUUUCAUUUGGAUGGUAAGUGUCUCUAUGCUAAAUAUAAAGAAAUAAUCUUUUAUCAAUGGCGAAUUCUGUGGAUAGAAGUGGAUUGCGUCUAGUGAAUUUUACCUAUAAAAUUAUUAUUUUUUGGAUACCUAAUUUAAUUAUUAAUGUUAAUAUGUGUAGGGUUGUUCAUCCCUUAGUAUAUGGUGAAUAUCCUGAGAGCAUGAGAGACUUGGUGGGGACUCGAUUGCCUAAUUUUACAGAAGAAGAAACAGAGAUGGUCAAAGGGUAUUUUGAUUUUGUUGGAAUAAAUUAUUACACUGCAAGAUAUGCAGAAGAAGCCACAUCUUAUAGUAGCAUCUACCUAAGUUAUACUACAGAUAGUCGAGUUAAUCUAACAAGUGAGUCCAAAGAUAAGAUUAAUUGGUGGUUUUAACUAAUUGAUUAUUCAUCAAUCUUGAUUUUUUUUUUUUUUUAUUCGAUUCAAUUUCAUUCACAAAAUGUUUGUAAUUUACUGUCGGCAGCUGAGAAAAAUGGGAUUCCUAUCGGUCCACAGGUAUUCCUUUUUAUAUAUAUAUAUUUUUUCCCAUAAUGUACAAUUUUAAUUUAAUUUUUAAUACAUAAAUAUUACACUAAUUAUUUCUCAAUUUUUUGCUUAGGCUGCUCCUAGUUGGCUUUACGUUUACCCAAAGGGAAUUCGAGAAAUUUUGCUAUAUACAAAGAGUAAAUACAACAAUAUUCCCAUUAUUGUCACUGAGAAUGGUAUAAACAGCAAUCAUUUAAUAAUUUUCCGCAAUUUCUUAUUUAACAAUUAAUGAUGUCUAACGUGUGUGUGUGUGUGUAUAUAUAUAUAUAUAGGAUGGCUGAUCCAAAUAAUAGCUCCAUUUCCAUUAAUGAUGCUCUAAAUGAUAAUUUGAGGAUCAAAUACCAUUUUCUUCAUCUAUCAUAUCUGUUAGAAGCUAUUAAGUAAGUUUCAAUAUUUGGGUUUCAAUUUAAGGUACUAUAGUUCUUCCUAAGAGAAAAAAAAAAUAAUAGGUAUGAUCUUUGGCAUGCAGAGAUGGAGUUGACGUAAGAGGAUAUUACGUGUGGUCAUUUCUAGAUGACUUUGAGUGGGAACUUGGUUAUACGGUUCGAUUUGGCAUUAAUUUUGUUGAUUAUGAAAAUGGAUUGAAAAGAUAUUACAAGCACUCUGCUUUAUGGUUCAAAGAUUUCCUCCAAAUGGAGAAUGUAACUUCCUCUUCUUUGUUGUAUUCUCAAUGAUUGAUGGAUUAAUUUCAUAAUACUAUAUAUUUAAUAUUGUUUAUUUAGUGAUAUAAUUAUGUUCUAUAAAUCCCUAUCAUUUUUGGAUUUUGAUAGUAACAACUUAUGAUUAAAUUCAUAAUUAUUGGUUAAGGUUUUCUUAGUUAUGUGUUUUUUUUUUUUUUUUAAUAAAGAAUAAUUAAGAUUGUUGUUAUGACUGGGAGGUGAGAAAAUCAGAAGCUAAAAGAAAUCAUGAGGAGCUUAGGUGAAGAAAUCUUACAAAAAUUAUAUAAAUUAUUAAAUGAAUUGGGGAAUAUUUGGUAGGUAUGGUAAGUAGGGCAUUAUUGAAAUUAAUUAUAAGCAUUUUAUGCAGGAAUGAGUACUUUUCAGCUAAUAUGUGGUAGUUGUUGAGUUAUUUUCAGCUAGAUCAUAGAUGUCAUUGUAUUCCAUAUUUCUCCAUAAACAUUGAUGUUAUUGUAAUACUACAAAUACAGUUGAAUUCAAAAAAUAAAUAAUUUCCUUUAAUUAAUCAAUAAAUUGAAAUAACGGGUAAUCUUUGCACUCCUGUGAGAAGACCAACCAGACAAAGUUCUUUUCAUAUUUUGUCUAUUUUGUGAACUAUAAGAAUUGUAGCAUAAACGAAAUUCGUAACUUAAAAGGAAUCCAAAUCUUUUAAGUAACGCGUCGUGCAAGUUGAAAAAUAAGAAUUUAUUAUUGGAAAAAAAAUAUAUAAGAAGUAAUAUUGGUUUAGAGAAAGAAUGCCUAUUUGUCUUUUGUUUAGCUCUGAUAAAAGAAUUGUUACCUUCCUACAUAAUUAAUAUUCUGCUAAAUGACAGAGCACUUAGAUUUUCAUAUAUAUAUAUAUAUAUAUGAUGAAAUAAAUUAAGAUGAGCUGCCAUUUCUGAGAUGUUAGUUCUCAAUUCUGGUAAGUGUGAGUUCUUCUUCUUCCUCUCUUUCUUUCGACUUUUCUUUUCCUUCUCUGGUCUUUCUUCAAUCUCUGCAAUUUCUUCCAUAUCCGGUUAACAGGUUAGGUAUCACAUAUAAAUAUUAUAAUAAUGAAAUGAGCAUUAGAACCACUUAACACCUAUCAUCCUGCUCGGCAAAAGGCACGUUAAUCUUGCAAAAUAUAUCUAAACUUUCUUCAUUUUCUUGUGUGCUAAUCUUAAUACUGUUCUUUUAUUUUCAAUUCACGAUUGCUGUUUUUUUAUUAUGAUUAUUGUCUUGUUGACAAAAUGAACACCAAUUCUUUUUUUUUUUGUCUUUUCUUGACUUUGGGAGACGUUGAACCCCACAUGUUCUGUUUUUUUCUUUUUCUGAGAGAUAAUGAACCCCACUGAUAUUGAUGAUGAUGGUUGCAGGGAUUUUGUACUGUACUGAAUAUGAAAACUGAACAUUAUCUCUUCUUCUUUCUCAUACCAAUCAUACAUUUGUGGGUUCUUACUGAGGGAUUGGAAGCUUAUAAUCUCCAUAACUCUGUUGCUCCAAUCAGUAGGAAUAGUUUUCCAAAAGAUUUUAUAUUCGGAGUAGCUUCAAGUGCUUGCCAGGUAAUUGAUUUUAUUUUUUUCCAGGAAAAUGUUUCUGGUUUUACUACAAUUUUCAAUCUCACAUUUGGUUUAGCUUUAAAUUUAGAGUGAAGGAGCAGCAGAUACUGAUGGCAAGAAACCAAGCAUUUGGGAUACCUUUACCAAGAACUACCCACGUAAUAUCCAAAUACAAAACCUAAUUAAUUCAUUAUUGUUUUAAAUUAUAAAUAUUUCAUCAGUAGAAGACCAGAAAGCAGCCAUGAGAGAAAUUCAUUUUCUUUUUGGUUGGUAAGUUUCAUAAUUAGUAUUGUAAAUUAUAUUAUUUAUAAUUUGCUGAUCCUGAAAAUUUUGUGUAGGUUUGCUCAUCCAGAAGUAAUGAAAUCUUUAGUGGGAGAACGACUGCCUAAAUUUACUAAACGACAAUCUGAUAUGCCAAAAGGGUCUCUUGAUUUCUUGGGAGUAAAUUACUACACCACAUAUUUUGUUGCAAACAACCUAUUAUCAAUGCCAAUAAAGUUGGAGCUCUGUAGUCAAACCACUUUUUCUGGUAAUUAAGUUUAUCUAUGCUAGAAAAAUAUUUCGUAUACGUAGAUAUAAUUGAAAUUAGGAAAAUUACAAAACCCCACCUAUAUACAACCAAUUAAGAAAAUGGAAACACGCAACAUAUGGUGUAAAAAUGAGCAAAAGGCAACACCAAUUAUAUUAAUAACUGACUUGACAUGAACAGCUGAAUCAUUCAAUGGAAUUAUUUCAAGUUUUCAUAAAAAGUACAUAAAUAAAUUUAUAUAUUUAGUCAAUCAUCUCUUAAUAUUUUUGUUUCUAAAUCUUGACACAUUAAUCUCAAACUAGAAUUCGAUUUUUUCAUGAAUUUAACAUCAAUAAUUAUACAAAUAAAUUCAGAAGGAAAAUCACAAUAGUUAUGGCAGGAAUGGAGUUGAUGUCAAGAUACUAUAUCAUAUGUGGGUAUUUUAGGAUGACAUUGAAUGGGAUGCUGAAUACAUAAUUUGAUUUAUUUUGCUAUUAUAAUCUCCGAUUUUAUAAGAAUGAGCUUAUCAGCUAUUAAAUUUUAAAAUUAUGUGGAGAUUAAUGAAUAAUAACUUAACCUAUUUCAAUACAAUUUAUACAAUAUAACAGCUAAUUAUUGAGUUCAUUAUUAUAUAUGGUGGAGUUUAUAAUUUCUUUUUGUUUUUUUUUAAUUUUACUUUUAAAAAUAAUGACUUUUUUACAAAGAGGAUCAUGUAUUAUGAUUAUGGUAACAUGGACUGAGCAAAAAGUUGGUACGGCAUUGACUGUCACUAUUAUCACACUGCAAGAAAUUAGAAAAACGAUGAAUAGUACAGCUCAAUAACUUCAGCACCUAAACGAAGUCCCCAUAUUCUUUCUCUAUAUAACACAGACUAAGAAGAUCCAAAUGAACAUCCCGCAGCUUCUACUAUACUAAAUAGAGCUAUGGGAAUUAAAUGUGCUUUAGCCUCCAUCUUGGUCCAUCUAGUUCUAGCUAGCUUACCAACUU
RNAcentral lists this long non-coding RNA (10783 nucleotides) under Jatropha curcas. Its description in RNAcentral is "long non-coding RNA (JCUR_LNC000547)". Lineage: Eukaryota; Viridiplantae; Streptophyta; Magnoliopsida; Malpighiales; Euphorbiaceae. The record is from RNAcentral.